CCUACGGGUGGCAGCAGUGAGGAAUAUUGGUCAAUGGGCGGGAGCCUGAACCAGCCAAGCCGCGUGAGGGAAGAAGGUACAGCGUAUCGUAAACCUCUUUUGUCAGGGAACAAAGGCGGGGACUAGUCCCCGGAUGAGGGUACCUGAAGAAAAAGCAUCGGCUAACUCCGUGCCAGCAGCCGCGGUAAUACGGAGGAUGCGAGCGUUAUCCGGAUUUAUUGGGUUUAAGGGGUGCGCAGGCGGUCUGUUAAGUCAGCGGUCAAAGCCCGGGGCUCAACCCCGGCCCGCCGUUGAAACUGGCAGUCUCGAGUUGGAGAGAAGUAUGCGGAAUGCGCGGUGUAGCGGUGAAAUGCAUAGAUAUCGCGCAGAACUCCGAUUGCGAAGGCAGCAUGCCGGCUCCACACUGACGCUGAGGCACGAAAGCGUGGGUAUCGAACAGGAUUAGAUACCCUAGUAGUC
This 459-nucleotide ribosomal RNA is filed under the name uncultured bacterium. RNAcentral describes it as "partial 16S ribosomal RNA". It matches the Rfam family "Bacterial small subunit ribosomal RNA", at positions 338 to 795 of the family's 1533-position model. The record is from RNAcentral.